Molecule: ribosomal RNA, 253 nt
Filed under: uncultured bacterium
Lineage: Bacteria
Description: partial 16S ribosomal RNA
Rfam family: Bacterial small subunit ribosomal RNA
Source: RNAcentral
UACAGAGGGUGCGAGCGUUGUCCGGAAUCACUGGGCGUAAAGGGCGCGUAGGCGGCUUUUCAAGCGUGCGGUGAAAGCUCGGGGCUUAACUCCGAGUCUGCCGUGCGAACUGGGAGGCUUGAGUCUGGUAGAGGUCGAUGGAAUUCCCAGUGUAGCGGUGAAAUGCGUAGAUAUUGGGAGGAACACCAGUGGCGAAGGCGGCUUACUGGACCGGAACUGACGCUGAGGCGCGAAAGCGUGGGGAGCAAACAGG